AUUGAACGCUGGCGGCAGGCCUAACACAUGCAAGUCGAGCGGAUGAAGGGAGCUUGCUCCUGGAUUCGGCGGCGGACGGGUGAGUAAUGCCUAGGAAUCUGCCUGGUAGUGGGGGAUAACGUCCGGAAACGGGCGCUAAUACCGCAUACGUCCUGAGGGAGAAAGUGGGGGAUCUUCGGACCUCACGCUAUCAGAUGAGCCUAGGUCGGAUUAGCUAGUUGGUGGGGUAAAGGCCUACCAAGGCGACGAUCCGUAACUGGUCUGAGAGGAUGAUCAGUCACACUGGAACUGAGACACGGUCCAGACUCCUACGGGAGGCAGCAGUGGGGAAUAUUGGACAAUGGGCGAAAGCCUGAUCCAGCCAUGCCGCGUGUGUGAAGAAGGUCUUCGGAUUGUAAAGCACUUUAAGUUGGGAGGAAGGGCAGUAAGUUAAUACCUUGCUGUUUUGACGUUACCAACAGAGUAAGCACCGGCUAACUUCGUG
Molecule: ribosomal RNA, 484 nt
Filed under: uncultured bacterium
Lineage: Bacteria
Description: partial 16S ribosomal RNA
Rfam family: Bacterial small subunit ribosomal RNA
Source: RNAcentral